GACGAACGCUGGCGGCGUGCUUAACACAUGCAAGUCGAACGGAAAGGCCCUGCUUUCGUGCGGUGCUCGAGUGGCGAACGGGUGCGUAACACGUGAGUAACCUGAUCUUGACUUUGGGAUAACUUCAGGAAACUGGGGCUACUCUCGUACAGGAGAUGACGCUGCAUGGUGGGGGUUGGAACGUCUCGGCGGGAGGGGAUGGACUCGCGGCUUAUCAGCUAGUUGGUGGGGUAGUGGCUUACCAAGGCAGAGACGGGUCCCCGGCCCGUGAGGGGGGCCGGCCACAAGAGGACUGAGGGACGGCGCAGUCGCCUACAUUAGGCAGCAGUGGGGAAUAUUGCACAAUGGGCGGAAGCCUGAGGCAGCAACGUUGCGUGCGUGAAGACGUCUUGCGGGUUGAAAACCGCUUUCGCCUGUUACGAAGCGUGUGUGACGGUAAUGAAUAAAUAAGCACCGGCUAACUACGUG
This 468-nucleotide ribosomal RNA is filed under the name uncultured bacterium. RNAcentral describes it as "partial 16S ribosomal RNA". It matches the Rfam family "Bacterial small subunit ribosomal RNA", at positions 28 to 507 of the family's 1533-position model. The record is from RNAcentral.